Molecule: long non-coding RNA, 208 nt
Filed under: Elaeis guineensis (African oil palm)
Lineage: Eukaryota; Viridiplantae; Streptophyta; Magnoliopsida; Arecales; Arecaceae
Description: long non-coding RNA (EGUI_LNC005571)
Source: RNAcentral
UAUCACUGAGUAAUUCAUGACAGCAAAUAUUAUGUAGUGGAGCAAAUAGACAUGCAGCAAGAUACGAAGGAAAAUUAAUCCCAACUCUAUCAUUUAUUCCGGCCGCCGAAGAGAAGUGAUAAGGCGCAACAUUAGACACAGAAUACUUAAAACAUGUUUCCAACCAGGUGAUAUAAGAUAACUAACAAAUUCUGCUUUGGGAACCCAG